RNAcentral lists this ribosomal RNA (481 nucleotides) under uncultured bacterium. Its description in RNAcentral is "partial 16S ribosomal RNA". It matches the Rfam family "Bacterial small subunit ribosomal RNA", at positions 28 to 507 of the family's 1533-position model. The record is from RNAcentral.
GAUGAACGCUGGCGGCGUGCUUAACACAUGCAAGUCGAACGAAACACCUUAUUUGAUUUUCUUCGGAACUGAAGAUUUGGUGAUUGAGUGGCGGACGGGUGAGUAACGCGUGGGUAACCUGCCCUGUACAGGGGGAUAACAGUCAGAAAUGACUGCUAAUACCGCAUAAGACCACAGCACCGCAUGGUGCAGGGGUAAAAACUCCGGUGGUACAGGAUGGACCCGCGUCUGAUUAGCUGGUUGGUGAGGUAACGGCUCACCAAGGCGACGAUCAGUAGCCGGCUUGAGAGAGUGAACGGCCACAUUGGGACUGAGACACGGCCCAAACUCCUACGGGAAGCAGCAGUGGGGAAUAUUGCACAAUGGGGGAAACCCUGAUGCAGCGACGCCGCGUGAGUGAAGAAGUAUUUCGGUAUGUAAAGCUCUAUCAGCAGGGAAGAAAAUGACGGUACCUGACUAAGAAGCCCCGGCUAACUACGUG